Pongo abelii (Sumatran orangutan) is the source of this 165-nucleotide unclassified non-coding RNA. It matches the Rfam family "Metazoan signal recognition particle RNA". From Rfam's summary of the family: The signal recognition particle (SRP) is a universally conserved ribonucleoprotein. The record is from Ensembl. NCBI's taxonomy places the organism in Eukaryota, Metazoa, Chordata, Mammalia, Primates, Hominidae.
GUUGGGUGUGGUGGCACAUGCCUGUAAUCCCAGCUACUUAGGAGGCUGAGGCAGGAGAAUCGCUUGAACCCAGGAGCUGGAGAUUGCAGUGAGCGGAGAUUGCAGUGAGCCAAGAUUGCACCACUGCACCUCCAGCCUGGGCGACAGAGUGAGACUCUGUCUCAA